Molecule: long non-coding RNA, 306 nt
Organism: Balaenoptera ricei (Rice's whale)
Lineage: Eukaryota; Metazoa; Chordata; Mammalia; Artiodactyla; Balaenopteridae
Exons: 2
Source: RefSeq, a predicted model, not a curated record
ACAUUGAUUGAUUUGUGGAUAUUGAACAAUCCUUGCAUCCCUAGCAUAAAUCCCAGUUGCUCAGGGGACACGAGUUCGAGCCCUGGUCUGGGAAGAUCUCACACGCUGCGGAGCAGCUAAGCCUGCAAGCUACAACUACUGAAGCCCGCGCCUAGAUCCCGUGCUGUGCAACAAGAGAAGCCACCGCAAUGAGAAGCCUGCGCACCGCAAGAAAGAGUAGCUCCCGCUUGCCGCAGCUAGAGAAAGCCCACGAGCCCAAGGCAACCAAAAAUAAAAUAAAUAAACAUAAAUAAAUUUUUUAAAAAA